GACGAACGCUGGCGGCGUGCUUAACACAUGCAAGUCGAACGGAAAGGCCCCUUUUUGGGUACUCGAGUGGCGGACGGGUGAGUAACACGUGAGUAACCUGCCCUUGACUUCGGGAUAACUUCAUGAAACUGGGGCUAAUACCGGAUAGGAAUCCUUGCUGCAUGGUGGGGGUUGGAAAGCUUCGGCGGUUUUGGAUGGACUCGCUGCUUAUCAGCUUGUUGGUGGGGUAGUUGCUUACCAAGGCUUUGACUGGUAGCCAGCCUGAGAGGGCGACCGGCCACCUUGGGACUGAGAUACGGCCCAGACUCCUACGGGAGGCAGCAGUGGGGAAUAUUGGACAAUGGGCGGAAGCCUGAUGCAGCAAAGCCGCGGGCGGGAUGACGGCCUUUGGGUUGUAAACCGGUUUCAGCAGGGGCGAAGCUUGUGGUGACGGUACCUGCAGAAGAAGCACCGGCUAACUACGUG
Molecule: ribosomal RNA, 465 nt
Filed under: uncultured bacterium
Lineage: Bacteria
Description: partial 16S ribosomal RNA
Rfam family: Bacterial small subunit ribosomal RNA
Source: RNAcentral